GGGGGGAAGAAAUAACAAGUGAUGUCCCUAGUAACGGCGAGUGAAAAGGACAUAGCCCAACUUGAAAAUCUCCCUUUGGAGAAUUGUAGUCUAGAGAAGCGCCCUCUGCGGCGACCGGAGCCCAAGUCCGCUGGAAAGCGGCGUCAGAGAGGGUGAGAACCCCGUCGGCUCUCGGUUUAGCUGCUCCACGAGGUGCUUUCCACGAGUCGGGUUGUUUGGGAAUGCAGCCCAAAAUGGGACGUAAAUCCGUUCUAAGGCUAAAUACUGGCGAGAGACCGAUAGCGAACAAGUAGUGUGAACGAAAGAUGAAAAGAACUUUGAAAAGAGAGUUAAAAAGUGCUUGAAAUUGUUGAGAGGGAAGCGAUUGGAGGGUGUGGGUGCGCCCAGGCUUAUGCGUCCCUAACGGGCCGCUGCAUGUGCUGGGUGCUGGUCAGCAUGGGUUAGUCGGGCGGGAUAAAAGCGGGGGUUGAUACCCCGUCUAUGCCGCCUGGCUGACCAAGGCGUAAAGGUCGCUCAGUCCUUCGGGAACUGCGUCCUCAAGAUGCUGGCAAAAGCCCUUCAAUCGACCCGUCUUGAAACACGGGACCCCAGGGAAAA
This 597-nucleotide ribosomal RNA is filed under the name Chlorococcum ellipsoideum. RNAcentral describes it as "partial large subunit ribosomal RNA". It matches the Rfam family "Eukaryotic large subunit ribosomal RNA", at positions 51 to 664 of the family's 3401-position model. Lineage: Eukaryota; Viridiplantae; Chlorophyta; Chlorophyceae; Chlamydomonadales; Chlorococcaceae. The record is from RNAcentral.